UACGUAGGGGGCAAGCGUUAUCCGGAAUUACUGGGUGUAAAGGGAGCGUAGACGGUAAUGUAAGUCUGGAGUGAAAGGCGGGGGCCCAACCCCCGGACUGCUCUGGAAACUAUGUUACUAGAGUGCAGGAGAGGUAAGCGGAAUUCCUAGUGUAGCGGUGAAAUGCGUAGAUAUUAGGAGGAACACCAGUGGCGAAGGCGGCUUACUGGACUGUAACUGACACUGAGGCUCGAAAGCGUGGGGAGCAAACAGG
RNAcentral lists this ribosomal RNA (253 nucleotides) under uncultured bacterium. RNAcentral's name for it is "partial 16S ribosomal RNA". It matches the Rfam family "Bacterial small subunit ribosomal RNA", at positions 524 to 776 of the family's 1533-position model. The record is from RNAcentral.